AGCCUGGUGACGAAUUCGCCAAAAAGGAUCCCAGCAUUCAGAAAACCCAUCUUCUUGGGUGAAACCUCCGGGAAAAUGGCCUUUUAGGAGCUGGGAUCUGCUUCCAGUUCUGAGAUGAGGGUUUUCCCUUUGGACCUCGGAAGACACGCAGGCUUCACCAUCAAACGCCCGAACAGAAACAACAAUGGAGACAAGGAGGUCCUGGUGAGUCCACGCUGGGCUCUGCGGGCCACUCACUCCCUGGGUGUGGCCCGUGCAUGAAGCGCCUGACCUGAUGUCCACACCGCACAGGGCCUGGUGCGGGGCCCCCUCCUCCCCUCACCCCUUCCGCAGGACGGGAAGAGGAGACAGCGAAGUCGAUGGGCCCGUGGCUGCAGGGUGGUGGACGGUGAAGCUCUAGCACUUUCUGUCCACGGUCUUGGCUCCAAACACUGCACUCUAUCAAACAGCCCAUGGGGCCAGAGAUGCGGGGCCUGUCCUCUUCGGAGCGACAACCCCCACGUGGCUAUUUAAAUGUAAAGUAAAAAUUCAGUCCCUUGACUCGACUGCCCACAGGGCCAGUGCCUCAGACAACCUGUGUCGAGAGGCGUCCACUGGGGUGCCACCCACCAGAAGUUCUCCAGGACAGCGCCCAGGACGCCCAGCAGCCCCCGGUCAGCGGGAAGCUCGGCUUUGCAGGCAGUGGGGCGAUGAGACGAAGAUAAACAGCAAACCAUCUUCACAGCUUGUCUCCCAAAUGGACCUGGGUCCGUGUCAAGUGCUGGUUCCCUGGUUUCUCAACAACUCCAAGGCCACCAAGCGCAGAGGAGCUGCAGUGGAGACUCUGGACCAGCAGUGUCCAAUUUUGGGGAAAAGAAUGAAUAUUAUCACCUGAAAGAGACCAAUGUGAUGUCAGCCUGAGAAAAGCACAUGGGGUUUCAGCCAUCUCUGCAUGUCUCCUGCCCCAGGAGAACGCUCAUGCCCUUGAGACAAGCUCUGAUCGCAACCAAGAGACCUCCAUCCCACCCCUCACUGACCCGCCUCAGCCUCCACCACAGGGCCACUGCUCGUACCAGCAAAUGUCAUGUUAAUCGAGGUGCUCCUAAAGGACCGGACUUGUUCCUCUGCUGUCAUCAAUGCCUCAUCUUUCACACAGGAAGGGAUUAAAAAUUGAGCCUUUUUUUUUACUACGGUUUUGCUGCUUGUUUACGUUAUAUUUCUCUGAGGUAAUAGAAUCGGACAAAUCGUAUCAUCUGCCGACAGUUUAAUUUCAGGACUGUGUAACACGACAUGCGUGAGUGAGAAUGUUUAUCCCCUUGCUUUCUGCACUCCCUAAAUUUUGUUUCCAUUUUUAAAAAUUUGUGACAAUAUAUUAUUCCUGGAGGUUUUGUAAACCAUGUCCUUCAAGCAAAUAAAUGUAAAUUUCAC
RNAcentral lists this long non-coding RNA (1407 nucleotides) under Capra hircus (goat). RNAcentral describes it as "lncRNA (ENSCHIG00000007193.1)". The record is from RNAcentral. Lineage: Eukaryota; Metazoa; Chordata; Mammalia; Artiodactyla; Bovidae.